Molecule: ribosomal RNA, 537 nt
Filed under: uncultured bacterium
Lineage: Bacteria
Description: bacterial SSU rRNA
Rfam family: Bacterial small subunit ribosomal RNA
Source: RNAcentral
AAUAGAUACCCUGGUAGUCCACGCCGUAAACGGUGGGCACUAGGUGUGGGCAGCAUUCCCACGUUGUCCGUGCCGUAGCUAACGCAUUAAGUGCCCCCGCCUGGGGAGUACGGCCGCAAGGCUAAAACUCAAAGGAAUUGACGGGGAGCCCGCACAAGCGGCGGAGCAUGUGGCUUAAUUCGACGCAACGCGAAGAACCUUACCAAGGCUUGACAUACACCGGAAACAUCCAGAGAUGGGUGCCCCCUUGUGGUCGGUGUACAGGUGGUGCAUGGCUGUCGUCAGCUCGUGUCGUGAGAUGUUGGGUUAAGUCCCGCAACGAGCGCAACCCUUGUCCCGUGUUGCCAGCAGGCCCUUGUGGUGCUGGGGACUCACGGGAGACCGCCGGGGUCAACUCGGAGGAAGGUGGGGACGACGUCAAGUCAUCAUGCCCCUUAUGUCUUGGGCUGCACACGUGCUACAAUGGCCGGUACAAAGAGCUGCGAUACCGUGAGGUGGAGCGAAUCUCAAAAAGCCGGUCUCAGUUCGGAUUGGGGU